AUUGAACGCUGGCGGCAGGCCUAACACAUGCAAGUCGAACGGUAACAGGAAACAGCUUGCUGUUUCGCUGACGAGUGGCGGACGGGUGAGUAAUGUCUGGGAAACUGCCUGAUGGAGGGGGAUAACUACUGGAAACGGUAGCUAAUACCGCAUAACGUCGCAAGACCAAAGAGGGGGACCUUCGGGCCUCUUGCCAUCGGAUGUGCCCAGAUGGGAUUAGCUAGUAGGUGGGGUAACGGCUCACCUAGGCGACGAUCCCUAGCUGGUCUGAGAGGAUGACCAGCCACACUGGAACUGAGACACGGUCCAGACUCCUACGGGAGGCAGCAGUGGGGAAUAUUGCACAAUGGGCGCAAGCCUGAUGCAGCCAUGCCGCGUGUAUGAAGAAGGCCUUCGGGUUGUAAAGUACUUUCAGCGGGGAUGAAGGGAGUAAAGUUAAUACCUGUGCUCAUUGACGGUACCCGCAGAAGAAGCACCGGCUAACUCCGUG
This 490-nucleotide ribosomal RNA is filed under the name uncultured bacterium. RNAcentral's name for it is "partial 16S ribosomal RNA". It matches the Rfam family "Bacterial small subunit ribosomal RNA", at positions 30 to 507 of the family's 1533-position model. The record is from RNAcentral.